ACAUGUCCUUAACCUUGGCACAACAAAUCUCUAAAUCGAUUGAGACCUGUCUCAGAUACUUCUUGGUUUACAAGAUGGAGGCUGAAAUUAAAGAGAAAGAUCCUCACUCAACUCACAGAGGAGCAGAAUGGGAAGAGGACUUAGUGAGAAUUCCCUGAACACAGGAGAAAACCGAAGCCCAGAGAGUGGAUGGCCAAGUCCAAGGUCACACAGCCAAGUGCAUCCGAGCAGCGCAGGAUCCAGGUUUCCUGCCCCAGUGCUCUUUCUGCAGCCCAUGCCACCUGUUUUCAUGCUAUCUCAGUUCACCUUCCAGCUACACACCUGCAAUCAGAAACAGAAAGUCUGAGAGUGUGUGUGGAGCCAAAGAGGGGACAGCAGUGGUGAGGCCAGUUUCAUGUCUUGUGAUUUAUUUUCUCCCUUUCUUUUUGGACUUUAAUCUUAAGUGGACAGCAAUUUGGAACAGUGUCAGCACCUUGUUGGAUUGUGCUGUUUGGGAGAGGUGACACAGAGUAUUUUAAAAGAGCAGGUUAAGAACUUUUCACAAGGAAUCAAUUGAGAGAAAAUAAAAUAGAAACAGACUGUCCCACAUUUGGGCUGAGCACCAAACACAUUUUUUUUUUUUUUUUUGAGACUGAGUCUUGCUCUGUCACUCAGGCUGGAAUGCAGUGGCGCGAUCUCGGCUCACUGCAGCCUUCACCUCCCGGGUUCAAGUGAUUCUUCUGCCUCAGCCUCCCAAGUAGCUGGGAUUACAGGUGCCCACCACCAUGCCAGGCUAAUUUUUGUAUUUUUAGUAGAGACGAGGUUUCACCAUGUUGGCCAGGCUGGUCUUGAACUCCUGACCAAGUGAUCCACCUGCUUCGGCCUCCCAAAGUGCUGGGAUUACAGGCACGAGCCACCGCACCUGGCCUCAAACAAGCUUUUUAAUUGCAUUCAGAAGUGCACCAACUAGGCACAGACCUCUGGCAUGGAGACAGAAUGGGAGGUUCUUGGUGUCUGGCCUGGUCUUGCAGAAAUCAGGGAGUUGUGGGGACCAGGCAGCCACUGUGCAUCAGAUAGGAGUUUCAGCAGCAGGCAACAGAAAGCCUGCCAAUGUAGCUGAAAUAAGAAGGGCUUAUUUUUAUCCCUGAACAGAAGCUUCCAGCACUGGUUCAUCAGAUCAGGGCACUGAGCUGGCAUCCCCAUUUAUACAGUUUUCCUUUCCUUCACCUUUGUAAGAUGCCUGGCACAGCUCUGAGCAUCAAAUAUCUGUGCCAUGUGGGAGCACACGAGGGGACAAGUGGGGAAUAGGGUCUCCUCUGUCCUCUGUCCCCAGGCUGGCUUCUCUCGUGGUAGAAGGACCCCCACAGCACCAGGCCUCAUAACUACCCUGCUGGUAAACUGCAGGUGCUGUCACGGCUUCCUGCCUUCGUAUAUGAAAUGUUCCUUGGCAGCUGGACUGCUGUUUGUUUACCGCACGCACAGCUCUGCUGCCUCUUGGUUACACCAGUGAGCUAUUGCUCCAUGACAAGCCACACCGAAAUGUAGCAAGCACUUAUUGUUGCCCACAUGUGUCAAGUCAGUUGAGUGUUUCUGCCAACCGGGGCCUGGCUUGGCCCACCUUGGCUGAGCUUGCUCUGGUGCUAGGGUCAGCUAGACAGGUCGGCAGGAGACCAGCUGCUCUAGAAGAGCCUGGACAGGAUGAAUUGGUUCUCCUUCCACGUGCAUCUUGCAUCCCUCCAGCCAAGGAUUUGAACCCAGGUCUCGUCUGACUCCAAAUGCACCAAGAGGAUGGAGCCCAGAGUGACACAGAGGAAGAGGCCCCUGGAUGGAUGCAUGGGGAAGAUCACGGGAAUUACAAGUGACAUCCUGAAGUAUGAUCACAAAUGUUUCAAAUUAAGCCUUCCUGCUAAGUUUCCAGAGGUGUGUGGCUCGGACGAAGUGUUUCCAGACCCUGAUCUACUGCAUGUCCUGCCUGUUGCUGGUUCUUUGCAGCAGUCCAUUGACCAAUGCUGUCUACAGCUUGAGAGCCUCUGCAGGCCAGGGCUGCUCUGUGCACAUCCUACGUUACUAUUCAAACUGCACAGCAGCAUGAAAAACAGGCCCUUCUUUUCUCUCAUUUACACAUAUGUGAAGAAGACACAGCAAGUGAGAAAACGUGACCGAAAGCCACGCGGACAGGUGGCCGCAGGGCCAAACCCAACUUCCGUGAUGUGAUCUGGCUACAGUUUGGAGCCCACAUAUUUCAAUAGUUAUCCCCAGGCCUGGCACGUCAAAGAGGCUCCAGAAAUGUUUGCUGAGUUAGAAGCAAGGCACAAGUCAUACCUACAUUCAAGGAGAGGGGACCAUGCAAAGGAUAAACUGCAGAGAGACAACAGAUUUACAUCCCAGACACAUUCACACUGGGCCAAGAGCAGCUGCCAUUGCAGAUUCGAGUCACGUCCUUUUUUCCUUCCUUCUCCUUCUUGGAGUUACAACAGAAGCUGGGGAGGUGAGAGUGCAGAAAGGACGUGGAUGAAGCAGAGAGGCACGUGCCUGUCUCAUUCGCCUCUGGAUCUGCUGCAUCCAGGACUGUGCCAGCACAAAGUGGGAGCCCGAUAAAUAUUUAUUGAAGAAAUGAAAGGUGACAAAAGGCAGAAGGAGGGAGACCCCAAAAAGAGUAUGAACCCAGCAUCACAGUGCACUUGUGGCAGAUGGCAGUGCAUACCCGGGAGCUACUCUCCUCCGGCCAGAUGCCCUUCUCCCAGCUGCCCGCCGUGUGGCAGCUCUACCCCGGGAGGAAGUACCGAGCAGCGGAUUCCAGUUUCUGGGAAAUAGCAGACCAUGGCCAGAUUGACUCUAUGGAGCAGCUGGUCCUAACAUAUCAGCCGGAGAGGAAAGACUGACACUGGGAGUGGCUGGCCCUGCUGGCCCUGCCUCUUCUGGCCUGGUGUCUCCUCAUGCCCCCUCAGUGAGGAUCUUCAUGUACCUGCUCUUCUGUUUGCACACCCAGCAUAGCCUCCUUGCAGGCAGAAGGCAGUAGGGCCCCUGCACACUCAGUUUCUCUCGUUUUCCUUAGUUAUCAGUCCUGUCCUGUCCCACUCAGGUCUGUACUUAGGGCAGCUGGCCUGGAUGGGCUUCACUGGGGCCCUGUCUGUGUGCUGAGCCAGUUUCCCCUGCUGGCUGCAAGCUGUGGGUUCUUUCUCCUCUGUGCCCCUCAUGCUGAUCUUCUAGAUGCCACUCCCAAAUCCCCUUCAUACCCACCAGGAUGUGUGCCCAGCCAGGCCUCCAGCACCCCCAGUGCAGCUCGUGAUUGGAAACUCACCAUCGGCAGGCAGUGGUUCGGUUUAAGAGAUGGCAUUAGAGGGAGCCCAGUCUGGAUGUGGACUUGGAUGCCCUGUGGGUAUCAGUUCUGCUGACACUUUGGCCCGAAAUAGAUCCAGUGCUGAGCAAGCAAUGUACACCAGAGCCUCAGUGAGCCCAUCUGCACAGUGGGGAGCAUGGAGGGAUGGGUUUGGCCUGUGCUUCUGCUUAUUCAGUCCUUCAGCUCACGGAAGGGAUGCUAGUCCGUGAAGGUGACCUCACAGUACUGGUUAAUUAAACUUUAUUGCUCACUGUC
RNAcentral lists this long non-coding RNA (3574 nucleotides) under Homo sapiens (human). RNAcentral's name for it is "novel transcript". The stretch from base 2343 to 2479 matches the Rfam family "T-cell leukemia/lymphoma 6 conserved region 3". Lineage: Eukaryota; Metazoa; Chordata; Mammalia; Primates; Hominidae. The record is from RNAcentral.